Raphanus sativus (radish) is the source of this 868-nucleotide long non-coding RNA. RefSeq lists it as uncharacterized. NCBI's taxonomy places the organism in Eukaryota, Viridiplantae, Streptophyta, Magnoliopsida, Brassicales, Brassicaceae. The transcript has 5 exons. The record is from RefSeq and is a predicted model, not a curated record.
CUUUUAUGACUUUCGGUGUUCUCUAGGCGAUGUAGAUGAAGAACCAGAUAAUAUCCGGUUGAAAUCACAUAUUCUCUAAGGGAAAUCCUCCUAUGGUGAAGAAAUAGCGAAUCUGAUGAUUUAUCAUUACGAAUCAAGAUCCAAAAACGCAGAAGAUGAAUAAAAAACUCGUUAACAAUUCAGAGGAAGAAAGUAGUUAACAACUAAGAGGAAGAAGCAGAGGAGGGUUGUUCGAAUGGGAAAUCUGAUUUCAUGAAUCAUUCGAAGAUCUGCAUGUUUAAUUUACAAAUCAAGAAUCAAAGAAGAUUGAAUGUUGAUUUGCGUGGUGAGAAAAGUACCAAGAGAAAAAAUCUCAACAUGAUUGAAGGAGAAACUAAUUGUUCUUUAUUCAAGGUCGACAAAUACAUCUACAUAGAGGACUUUAUUAUUCGGACAUAAGAUAUUGUGAAUAAGAUAGAAGCUAAAAGAGAUGUGGGCGAUGAGGCAAAGACACUUUCAGCAGAAAAGAUAAGUCGAUAAAUACAACUACAUAGAGGACCAAAUUAUUCGGACAUAAGAUAUUGUGAAAUAAGAUAGAAGCUAAAGAGAUUUGGGCGAUGAGGCAAAAUACACUUUCAUAGGAGAAGAUAAGUACAAUGUCAUCUAUUAAGUUUAUCUAUCGUAUAGUAUAUAUAUAUAUAAAACAUAUUAUAACAAUCAGUUCACCUUUCCAUACCUUUUUCAAACAAUUUCGUUUUAUGUAGAUGAACUGAUUAUAUUUUCUUCAUCUUGUUUUAAUAGGACCAAGGUCAUUAAAGUGGUGGGACGUGAAGAUACAGGACUGAAGUUUAACUUGAAGUUUCUAUUCACGGGUGAACGAAACCGAACA